RNAcentral lists this non-coding RNA (162 nucleotides) under uncultured Clostridium sp. Its description in RNAcentral is "Lysine riboswitch". It matches the Rfam family "Lysine riboswitch aptamer". From Rfam's summary of the family: Riboswitches are metabolite binding domains within certain messenger RNAs that serve as precision sensors for their corresponding targets. Allosteric rearrangement of mRNA structure is mediated by ligand binding, and this results in modulation of gene expression. Lineage: Bacteria; Bacillati; Bacillota; Clostridia; Eubacteriales; Clostridiaceae. The record is from RNAcentral.
GAGAUAGAGGCGCAAAGAUUAUUAGUACCAUUAUGGAGUUAAGCACUGUGAUAUAAUGAGAAAGGAUGAAUUGCCGAAGGUUAUAGUUAAGGCUUUAAUACUAUAUUCCUGGUUACAUGUAUAAUAUACAUGUAAUUGUCACAUAAUUGUGGAGAGCUAUCC